Molecule: RNA transcript, 699 nt
Organism: Cimex lectularius (bed bug)
Lineage: Eukaryota; Metazoa; Arthropoda; Insecta; Hemiptera; Cimicidae
Gene name: 40S ribosomal protein S27-like
Exons: 3
Source: RefSeq, a predicted model, not a curated record
CUUAAAAGAAUGGCGGUUCAAGCGCGAGAGAAAAAGACGGCAAAAAAUCCAAAAUCGACCCUUUUAAAUACAACACCAGAUACGGCUGCUAUUUUUGAAAGUCGUAAGGAACCUGGGACAUGUGACGAUUCCAAAUUUGGUUCUGUCAGCUGUUCUCGUGCCGAAAGCGUGUCGGUUUCGGAUGCUCUCUUACCCUUUGCCCCUCUUCAUUUAUGGACUCUUCUCGCCUGGCAAUUGAGAUUUUUUCACCCCGAGGAGUGCGGAACGUCUGAAACCAUCACGAUCCAGAUAGAUUGCAACGAUGCCUCUCACGGUUGAUCUUCUAAAUCCACCUGCGGCCGAGGAGAAGAAGAAACACAAAUUAAAACGACUUGUGCAGCACCCGAACUCGUACUUUAUGGAUGUGAAGUGCCCUGGGUGUUUUAACAUAACGACGGUCUUCUCCCAUGCCCAGAGUAGGGUCAUCUGCUCGCGCUGUGCUACAUAUCUCUGCCAGCCAACAGGGGGCCGGGCUAGGCUUACGGAAGGAUGUUCUUUCCGGAGAAAACCUUAUUGACUUGUAGCAGUUUAUUUUUGUUUCAGCUGUGUUGAAGAAUGUCUGUAUGAGUCUUUAGCCUUGGAAGACAUCUCUCCCAUUGCUUAUUUUCUUAAUUUUAAUUACUUUUUGAAUGUUUAAUAAAAUAUUUUAAAAAACUCAAA